GACGAACGCUGGCGGCGUGCUUAACACAUGCAAGUCGAACGGAAAGGCCCUGCUUUUGUGGGGUGCUCGAGUGGCGAACGGGUGAGUAACACGUGAGUAACCUGCCCUUGACUUUGGGAUAACUUCAGGAAACUGGGGCUAAUACCGGAUAGGAGCUCCUGCUGCAUGGUGGGGGUUGGAAAGUUUCGGCGAUUGGGGAUGGACUCGCGGCUUAUCAGCUUGUUGGUGGGGUAGUGGCUUACCAAGGCUUUGACGGGUAGCCGGCCUGAGAGGGUGACCGGCCACAUUGGGCCUGCGAUACGGCCCAGACUCCUACGGGAGGCAGCAGUGGGGAAUAUUGCACAAUGGGCCGAAGCCUGAUGCAGCAACGCCGCGUGCGGGAUGACGGCCUUCGGGUUGUAAACCGCUUUCGCCUGUGACGAAGCGUGAGUGACGGUAAUGGGUAAAGAAGCACCGGCUAACUACGUG
RNAcentral lists this ribosomal RNA (468 nucleotides) under uncultured bacterium. RNAcentral's name for it is "partial 16S ribosomal RNA". It matches the Rfam family "Bacterial small subunit ribosomal RNA", at positions 28 to 507 of the family's 1533-position model. The record is from RNAcentral.